RNAcentral lists this long non-coding RNA (2314 nucleotides) under Sus scrofa (pig). Its description in RNAcentral is "lncRNA (ENSSSCG00045005862.1)". The record is from RNAcentral. Lineage: Eukaryota; Metazoa; Chordata; Mammalia; Artiodactyla; Suidae.
GGCGGGCGCUGGGCGGCCGGAGGGGUGGCUGGUGGUCAGAGCGGGGAGGCGUCCCCCCCAGCCCGGGGGCCCUUUCGGGGGCGCGCCCGCCCCGCCCUCCAGGCGGGACUCGUUGGGUCCCUCUGGCGCCCCGUGGGUCCCUUUCCCAGAGCUGCACCCGCCCCCUCUCGGCUCCUGGGCGCCACGGAUAGGAGGGCAAGUCACGCGAGGACCAGCCGCGUGCGGAUCGAGGCGGAGGAGUCCGGGGCCCUGCACACGCUCCUGCCGAGGCUCUGUCGUUGGCGGGGCGCUCUCGGGGCCGCUCUCCCGGCUUCGACACUGCUGCGGGGCAGACCGUGCCCACAGACGGCUUGGGUGCAUGUUUGCCCCUGGAUCUCAGACCAGCUAGAAAUCAGUCUCUCCCUAAGACCCAGGCUUCUGAGGGCGAGCGAGGUUUCCAGGGACGGUGCAUACCCAAAACUUCGUGUUAGGAGAGGCCUGGGCCAGAGUGUGAAGGCGCUGCAGUGAAGUCGCACAGCAGAUGGCUUGUAUCAUCCUCAGUUCUGGCUCCCGCCUGAUGCUGAAGACAGCCUCCUCCCAGAAGCCACUUCCAGUCGAGCCUUCGGAGAGUGACGCUGGCCUGAAUCCAAACCAGACCCAUCAUCGAGAAGAAAGCAGGCUCUAGGUCUCGUCCAGGUGGGGAAUGUACCGUCAUUUCACCUGUUGUCUCUGUGUGGGAGAGCAGCGGACAAGAGCCCAAGGAUCCCCUUUGACUUAAAGGGGAUUCAAAGAGUUUAUAUCUCAAAACGCAGGCCGCUUGGAAUGUUCGCAGCUAGAAGGCCGCCCUCUUGGUUGAGACAGCCUGUCAGGACACGGGUAAGCAGCCCAGGCCAGGAGAGGGCUUCUCAGGACGGUUUGAGGGCUCAGAACACGUGCUUCCUUCGGCGCUCAGGAGAAACUGCUUUCUCCUGACCUUAUGGGAUUUCUUCGGCCAGCAGUUAUUUAAAGAGCCUGAAGUUUGUCAAGGCUCUGUCCUGGAAUUCCAUCAUUUGGCACUGAGAGGCAGAUCAAGGAAGCUCAGAACUAAAACAACCAAAAAAAAAAAAAUUUUGAUGGGGUUCUUAACCAAAGAAACAAGAACCAUGCAGGUGGAGUUUCUACAAGCACCUGGGCCCGACUGACUCCUGUCUGAGGCUGUGGUGAAACUGGAAUGCUUUUAUUUAUUUAUUUAUUUGUCUUCUUGCCUUUUCUAGGGCCGCUCCCGUGGCAUAUGGAGGUGCCCAGGCUAGGGGUCUAAUCGGAGCUCUGCAGUUCGGAUUGGACCCCCAGCCUGGGAACCUCCAUGUGCCAAGGGUGCGGCCCUAAAAGGCAAAAAAAAAAAAAAUUUGCUCUAACCAUCUCCUGACAAGAGCCUGUAGGCCGUUUCCCGUUUAGGUCGUUAUAAACAAUGCAGCAUCUCCUCCACAUUUAGGGCCAACGGGGUGGGUCUCCAGACGUGAACUGCAGGGAGAGAGCGUUCUGGCAAAUUCUGCUGCCUAAGUGCCCCAGCAGUGCACAGACAGCAGGUGAGGUCUCAUCUCGCCGGGCUGGUAGAGGAGAAGCAGCUUCUGAUGUGACACCUUCGAUUCCUAAAGAGGAAGCGGACGGCCAGGUGCUCAGUCUCUUGGGCCAGAGACGAGGGACCCCGGGCCAGUCCUGCUCCUCGUGCUUCGCGUUCCCCCGGGGGGACGCUGACAGUGCUCGCCUGUGACUGUGACGUCCUCAGCGCGGCGCUGGCCCCAGGGGUCCGCCACUGUCCUCUGGUCAUGUGUCAGUGUCCUCAGCGAGGGGACGUUUGCCUCCCGGCGUGAGAGGGCGGCGCCGGCUGGCGGCCUCCGUGCUUCUCUGAGGAAAGCGAAAUCAACCCGGAAGACAACGGAAAAGUGAUUUUUUUAACAGGAGACAUGAGGAAAAUGACACGGCCAAACUAAAACCACUUCAUGAGCUUCUUCUUUUGCUCUUUAAUGGCCACACCCACUGCACAUGGAGCUCCCGGGCCGGCAGUGGCAUCCAGGCCACGGCUGCUGACCUGCGCUCGUGGCGUUUUUGCCUCGUGGCGUUUUGGUCAAGACGGGAGGGCUCACUUCCUGCUUCUUCCGAGUUAACCAUCAUGACGCCACACCAUCGCCAAGCUCUGAAGCCGAGUCUUUCAGAUUCAUCGGAUUUGAUGGGUUGUUUUGGGGGGUUUGUUUGUGUUUGUUUUGCUCUUGCUAUUCAAGUGAAACUCAAAUUCCAGGAACAAGAAAACCUGUUACCUGAGUCAAAGGAGAAAACAUAAUAAAAGUUAUGAAACACU